AAGAGGGGGUUUUAGCCUCACUACAAUGCACCCCAAGGACCCAGGUUAUUUCCACUUCUCUGCCUUCCCAGCUUCAGCGGCAGGUCCAACGUUCUACAGGAAGCAAGAUGCCUGCAGCUGGGCCAGACCAGUGUAAGCAGGUGCUCGUGUGAGAAAGGAAAGGAGAAACCAUCUCAUCCUGGGGUUCCCUCUCAGCAGCCAGCAAAGGGUCCCCAACAGUUCCUCAUCUCCAACAAGACUUCACCUGACAGCUCAUUGGUCAGAGUUGGCCCAUUUCUGAAUCAAUCACCAGCAAGGAGCAAUCAGGAACCCCCACCUCGCCCCCUGCCCUUGGAAUUGGAGGUGGGAUGGCAAAGCCCAGAGCUUUACCUGGAGGCCCCCGUGUCCCUGUCAGCCCGGGUUCCUCAUCAAGGAAAACCAAGUAUGGAUGAGGCAGGGAUGCGGUAAUGGCUUUUGCUGUGCUCCUGAUUCCAGUUCUUUUGUCACUCAGCUAUUGUGAGUGUUGGUGACCAAUGGUUUAUAGCUGCACCCUUCUCUGAAGACUUUCUCUUGGCCCAUGGGAGCUGCUCCACCCAGAACUGCCUGGGAGGUUGUCCCGUGACCUCUGUGUGUGUCUUGCAGAUGACUACAGAUGAAGCAGUAUAAAAGCCCAGCCCCUUUGCCUCCAGAUGGAACAAUUCUGUGAGGCAACCCCUUGUCCCAGAACCUACCAUAGGAUUGAGCUGAGACUGGACAGCAGCUGAACCCAUGUCCUCACUUUGCUUCUCACAUGUCCUGUCUUGCUUCCCUUACUCCCUUACAAGUUCUUCCUGUGAGCAUUUGCCCAAGACCCCCUCUCAGCCUCUGAUUCCAGCAACUCUAACUUAGACAGGCUUCCCUUGCUCCUAGCUUUUCAUAUUUUCAGCUAUAUGCCAGAGAGGUAAGGUACAAAAGACUUCUGUACUCUUUCCUGUCCCUUCCCUCAACACAGCACUAAGAGAGGACAGCCUAAUCAUGAGUUAAGGAAUGCAUAAUGAGAAAAAAAUAACUUUUACAAAAAUAUAGAUUAGAAAUUCAUUAGUUUGUCAAACUUUUACUUGAAAAGCCUACCUUAUGAGUCACUGGGUGAAGAUCUGAGAACACAGAUACAAAACACACAAUUUCCCUUCAUUUCACCCUUUUGAGAAGCUCACAUUCUGAUGUGGAAACCGACAAGUAAG
Molecule: long non-coding RNA, 1199 nt
Filed under: Vulpes vulpes (red fox)
Lineage: Eukaryota; Metazoa; Chordata; Mammalia; Carnivora; Canidae
Description: lncRNA (ENSVVUG00000006246.1)
Source: RNAcentral